Molecule: ribosomal RNA, 468 nt
Filed under: uncultured bacterium
Lineage: Bacteria
Description: partial 16S ribosomal RNA
Rfam family: Bacterial small subunit ribosomal RNA
Source: RNAcentral
GACGAACGCUGGCGGCGUGCUUAACACAUGCAAGUCGAACGGAAAGGCCCUGCUUUUGUGGGGUGCUCGAGUGGCGAACGGGUGAGUAACACGUGAGUAACCUGCCCUGUACUUUGGGAUAACUUCAGGAAACUGGGGCUAAUACCGGAUAGGAGCUCCUGCUGCAUGGUGGGGGUUGGAAAGUUUCGGCGGUUGGGGAUGGACUCGCGGCUUAUCAGCUUGUUGGUGGGGUAGUGGCUUACCAAGGCUUUGACGGGUAGCCGGCCUGAGAGGGUGACCGGCCACCUUGGGACUGAGAUACGGCCCAGACUCGUACGGGAGGCAGCAGUGGGGAAUAUUGCACAAUGGGCGGAAGCCUGAUGCAGCAACGCCGCGUGCGGGAUGAAGGCCUUCGGGUUGUAAACCGCUUUCGCCUGUGACGAAGCGUGAGUGACGGUAAUGGGUAAAGAAGCACCGGCUAACUACGUG